CAACCCCAACUCAUAUGGGACUACCCCCUGAAUUUAAGCUUAUUAUUUAGGGGAGGAAAAGAAACUAAAAAGGAUUUUUCUUAGAACGGGCAACGAAAAAAAAUCCUUUCACCCCAAAUUCCCUUUUUCUUUUGGGAAAUGGGAAGAGCCGUGGUUGGGGGGGCCCAAUUUUUUUUUAUGAAAAAUUAAACAUUUAAAUUCCCUUUUUAAAAAG
RNAcentral lists this non-coding RNA (214 nucleotides) under Drosophila ananassae. RNAcentral describes it as "Eukaryotic large subunit ribosomal RNA". It matches the Rfam family "Eukaryotic large subunit ribosomal RNA", at positions 1 to 210 of the family's 3401-position model. The record is from Rfam by way of RNAcentral. Lineage: Eukaryota; Metazoa; Arthropoda; Insecta; Diptera; Drosophilidae.